This 1498-nucleotide ribosomal RNA is filed under the name uncultured bacterium. Its description in RNAcentral is "bacterial SSU rRNA". It matches the Rfam family "Bacterial small subunit ribosomal RNA". The record is from RNAcentral.
AGAGUUUGAUCCUGGCUCAGAAUAAACGCUGGCGGCGUGCCUAACACAUGCAAGUCGAGCGAGAAAGUUCCUUCGGGAGCAAGUACAGCGGCGGACGGGUGAGUAACGCGUGAGAAUUUACCCUUUAGUGAAGAAUACCUCUGAGAAAUCAGGGUUAAUACUGCAUAAGUCCCUUCGGGGAGAAAGGUGGCCUAUUUGCUGCCGCUAAAGGAUAAGCUUGCGGGCUAUUAGCUAGUUGGUGGGGUAAAGGCUCACCAAGGCAAUGAUGGCUAGCCGGCCUGAGAGGGUGUACGGCCACACUGGAACUUAGACACGGUCCAGACUCCUACGGGAGGCAGCAGUGAGGAAUAUUGCGCAAUGGGCGAAAGCCUGACGCAGCGACGCCGCGUGAAGGAUGAAGGUCUUCGGAUUGUAAACUUCUGUUAAGUGGGAAGAAAGAUUCAUCCCUAAUACGGAUGAAGGAUGACGGUACCAUUAGAGAAAGCACCGGCUAACUUCGUGCCAGCAGCCGCGGUAAUACGAGGGGUGCAAGCGUUAUUCGGAAUUAUUGGGCGUAAAGGGUGCGUAGACGGCUUAUCAAGUCAACUGUUAAAUUCUCCGGCCUAACUGGAGGUCAGCAGUAGAAACUGAUAGGCUUGAGGGUGGAAGAGAGAAGUGGAAUUCUCGGAGUAGCGGUAAAAUGCGUAGAUCUCGAGAGGAACACCGAUGGCGAAGCAGCUUCUUGGUCCAUACCUGACGUUGAGGCACGAAAGCGUGGGGAGCAAACAGGAUUAGAUACCCUGGUAGUCCACGCCGUAAACGAUGAUCACUAGACGUUAACUCUGCUUGCGGAGUUGGUGUCGUAGCUAACGCGAUAAGUGAUCCGCCUGGGGAAUACGGUCGCAAGACUAAAACUCAAAGGAAUUGACGGGGGCCCGCACAAGCGGUGGAACAUGUGGUUUAAUUCGACACUACGCGAGGAACCUUACCUAGGCUUGACAUGCUUUUGACAGUUGUAGAAAUACAAUCUUCUUCACUUUGUGAAGACAAUUGCACAGGUGCUGCAUGGUUGUCGUCAGCUCGUGUCGUGAGAUGUUGGGUUAAGUCCUUUAACGAGCGCAACUCUUGCCGAUAGUUGCUAUUUAUGAAAAGCACUCUAUUGGGACUGCCUGGGAAACCAGGAGGAAGGUGGGAAUGACGUCAAAUCAUCAUGGUCCUUAUGUCUAGGGCUACACACGUGUUACAAUGGCCAGUACAAAGGGUAGCGAUUCUGCGAAGAGGAGCUAAUCCCAAAAAGCUGGUCUAAGUUCGGAUUGCGGUCUGCAACUCGACCGCAUGAAGCUGAAAUCGCUAGUAAUCGCGUAUCAGAACGACGCGGUGAAUACGUUCACGGGCCUUGUACACACCGCCCGUCACACCACGAGAGCUGUUUGUACCCGAAGUUAUCUUAGCCAACCGUUUCGGAGGCGGAUACCUAAGGUAUGGGUAGUGAUUGGGGUGAAGUCGUAACAAGGUAACC